GUUUAAAGUUUUCAGUAUCAUACUUGUGGGCUCUUAAUAAUUGAAGAGCACCCACAAGAACUGUAUGGCGAAUCUCUCUUUCUCCGACCAAGUUUCAGGGGUCUAAAGUAAAUGGGGCUCCCAUGAUAAGCAUACUGACUGAAUUACUAGCAUCAUCAAUUCGACUAGAAUCUAGUAUUUUUUCACGUUAUUAAUUUUUGGUUUCGGAUUUUAGGAUAGCCAAUUGUAUUGAAUUGGAUAAAUUCAAUAUGAUAAGUACGUUAAUUUUAAUUAUCUCUGUAGAAUCUAAUAUGAUUUUCAGUUUAUUUUUUUUAUAAGAAAAUCAUUGUAUUUUCGUCAAUUUAAGAUUGUGUUGAAGAAUGCCAUUUAAUAUUUCUCAGCAAAAAGUUAUAAAAGCAAUAGCAUAUUCAACGUGCUACAAAUAAAAUUUAACAAGUUUUCGAGGGUAAUUUUGUAACUUCAUGCACCAAUCCAACAUUUUCCAACAUUGUCUUGCAAACCUAAGAUGACAUUGAAAUUAGAUUACACUUAAUCCGAA
This is a long non-coding RNA of Erythranthe guttata (spotted monkey flower), 538 nucleotides long. RefSeq lists it as uncharacterized. The record is from RefSeq and is a predicted model, not a curated record. NCBI's taxonomy places the organism in Eukaryota, Viridiplantae, Streptophyta, Magnoliopsida, Lamiales, Phrymaceae.